Molecule: long non-coding RNA, 392 nt
Filed under: Fukomys damarensis (Damara mole-rat)
Lineage: Eukaryota; Metazoa; Chordata; Mammalia; Rodentia; Bathyergidae
Description: lncRNA (ENSFDAG00000031754.1)
Source: RNAcentral
CUCCAAACAACUCUCAUGGAGUCUGAGUUCUUCGAAAUGAUGAAAGGCAGCCUGCGUAAGAGAUGUAUGCAGCUGCUGUCACUGCCUUCGCUGUCCAUCCCCUGCUGCUGAUACAAUGAUCCCUCUCUAGCUUCCAGGCUCAGAGCCAGCCUAGGCACUGCCUCCCGCUGUGCUGUCCUACUGCUUCCGGGAUCCUGCAUCAUUGCCCUCAUUGUAUGUGACUACGCUGAUUGUCUGAUUAUCACACGGAAUACAGAACCUACCCAAGGCUUGGCAUCAGUAAAGCUUGGAAUUAAGUGAGGUCUGUCUAAUUCCAAAGCUCAGGCUCUUUCAACGGCCACAGCUGAUCAAUCACCCCAUGAUUAAAAAUAACUCACUAUCCAAAGCCCGCA